GUCAGGAUGGCCGAGCGGUCUAAGGCGCCAGACUCAAGGAUUACUCCUUCCUGAGUAAAAGGGACUUCUGGUCUCCAGAUGGAGGCGUGGGUUCAAAUCCCACUCCUGACA
Molecule: non-coding RNA, 111 nt
Organism: Caranx melampygus (bluefin trevally)
Lineage: Eukaryota; Metazoa; Chordata; Actinopteri; Carangiformes; Carangidae
Source: the annotation of a GenBank genome assembly